RNAcentral lists this ribosomal RNA (2987 nucleotides) under Salmonella enterica subsp. enterica serovar Typhimurium. RNAcentral describes it as "23S ribosomal RNA". It matches the Rfam family "Bacterial large subunit ribosomal RNA". The record is from RNAcentral. Lineage: Bacteria; Pseudomonadati; Pseudomonadota; Gammaproteobacteria; Enterobacterales; Enterobacteriaceae.
GGUUAAGCGACUAAGCGUACACGGUGGAUGCCCCGGCAGUCAGAGGCGAUGAAGGGCGUGCUAAUCUGCGAUAAGCGCCGGUAAGGUGAUAUGAACCGUUAUAACCGGCGAUACCCGAAUGGGGAAACCCAGUGUGAUUCGUCACACUAUCAUUAACUGAAUCCAUAGGUUAAUGAGGCGAACCGGGGGAACUGAAACAUCUAAGUACCCCGAGGAAAAGAAAUCAACCGAGAUUCCCCCAGUAGCGGCGAGCGAACGGGGAGGAGCCCAGAGCCUGAAUCAGCAUGUGUGUUAGUGGAAGCGUCUGGAAAGGCGCGCGAUACAGGGUGACAGCCCCGUACACAAAAGCGCAUGUGCUGUGAGCUCGAUGAGUAGGGCGGGACACGUGGUAUCCUGUCUGAAUAUGGGGGGACCAUCCUCCAAGGCUAAAUACUCCUGACUGACCGAUAGUGAACCAGUACCGUGAGGGAAAGGCGAAAAGAACCCCGGCGAGGGGAGUGAAAAAGAACCUGAAACCGUGUACGUACAAGCAGUGGGAGCACCCUUCGGGGUGUGACUGCGUACCUUUUGUAUAAUGGGUCAGCGACUUAUAUUCUGUAGCAAGGUUAACCGUAUAGGGGAGCCGGAGGGAAACCGAGUCUUAACCGGGCGUUAAGUUGCAGGGUAUAGACCCGAAACCCGGUGAUCUAGCCAUGGGCAGGUUGAAGGUUGGGUAACACUAACUGGAGGACCGAACCGACUAAUGUUGAAAAAUUAGCGGAUGACCUGUGGCUGGGGGUGAAAGGCCAAUCAAACCGGGAGAUAGCUGGUUCUCCCCGAAAGCUAUUUAGGUAGCGCCUCGUGAAUUCAUCUCCGGGGGUAGAGCACUGUUUCGGCUAGGGGGCCAUCCCGGCUUACCAACCCGAUGCAAACUGCGAAUACCGGAGAAUGUUAUCACGGGAGACACACGGCGGGUGCUAACGUCCGUCGUGAAGAGGGAAACAACCCAGACCGCCAGCUAAGGUCCCAAAGUCAUGGUUAAGUGGGAAACGAUGUGGGAAGGCCCAGACAGCCGGGAUGUUGGCUUAGAAGCAGCCAUCAUUUAAAGAAAGCGUAAUAGCUCACUGGUCGAGUCGGCCUGCGCGGAAGAUGUAACGGGGCUAAACCAUGCACCGAAGCUGCGGCAGCGAACGUAUCACCCAAGACAACUUUACGGAGUUGACGAUUGACGGAGCGAAGCGACGUCAAAGCGUUCAUUAAAGUCGAGUUGGCUUAGGGAUACGUUCGUUGGGUAGGGGAGCGUUCUGUAAGCCUGUGAAGGUGUGUCGUGAGGCAUGCUGGAGGUAUCAGAAGUGCGAAUGCUGACAUAAGUAACGAUAAAGCGGGUGAAAAGCCCGCUCGCCGGAAGACCAAGGGUUCCUGUCCAACGUUAAUCGGGGCAGGGUGAGUCGACCCCUAAGGCGAGGCCGAAAGGCGUAGUCGAUGGGAAACGGGUUAAUAUUCCCGUACUUGGUGUUACUGCGAAGGGGGGACGGAGAAGGCUAUGUUGGCCGGGCGACGGUUGUCCCGGUUUAAGCGUGUAGGUGUGUGUUCCGGUAAAUCCGGUUCACUUUAACACUGAGGCGUGACGACGAGGCACUACGGUGCUGAAGCAACAAAUGCCCUGCUUCCGGGAAAAGCCUCUAAGCAUCAGGUAACAUCAAAUCGUACCCCAAACCGACACAGGUGGUCAGGUAGAGAAUACCAAGGCGCUUGAGAGAACUCGGGUGAAGGAACUAGGCAAAAUGGUGCCGUAACUUCGGGAGAAGGCACGCUGACACGUAGGUGAAGUGAUUUACUCAUGGAGCUGAAGUCAGUCGAAGAUACCAGCUGGCUGCAACUGUUUAUUAAAAACACAGCACUGUGCAAACACGAAAGUGGACGUAUACGGUGUGACGCCUGCCCGGUGCCGGAAGGUUAAUUGAUGGGGUCAGCGCAAGCGAAGCUCCUGAUCGAAGCCCCGGUAAACGGCGGCCGUAACUAUAACGGUCCUAAGGUAGCGAAAUUCCUUGUCGGGUAAGUUCCGACCUGCACGAAUGGCGUAAUGAUGGCGGGCUGUCUCCACCCGAGACUCAGUGAAAUUGAACUCGCUGUGAAGAUGCAGUGUACCCGCGGCAAGACGGAAAGACCCCGUGAACCUUUACUAUAGCUUGACACUGAACAUUGAGCCUUGAUGUGUAGGAUAGGUGGGAGGCUUUGAAGUGUGGACGCCAGUCUGCAUGGAGCCGACCUUGAAAUACCACCCUUUAAUGUUUGAUGUUCUAACGUGGACCCGUAAUCCGGGUUGCGGACAGUGUCUGGUGGGUAGUUUGACUGGGGCGGUCUCCUCCUAAAGAGUAACGGAGGAGCACGAAGGUUGGCUAAUCCUGGUCGGACAUCAGGAGGUUAGUGCAAUGGCAUAAGCCAGCUUGACUGCGAGCGUGACGGCGCGAGCAGGUGCGAAAGCAGGUCAUAGUGAUCCGGUGGUUCUGAAUGGAAGGGCCAUCGCUCAACGGAUAAAAGGUACUCCGGGGAUAACAGGCUGAUACCGCCCAAGAGUUCAUAUCGACGGCGGUGUUUGGCACCUCGAUGUCGGCUCAUCACAUCCUGGGGCUGAAGUAGGUCCCAAGGGUAUGGCUGUUCGCCAUUUAAAGUGGUACGCGAGCUGGGUUUAGAACGUCGUGAGACAGUUCGGUCCCUAUCUGCCGUGGGCGCUGGAGAACUGAGGGGGCUGCUCCUAGUACGAGAGGACCGGAGUGGACGCAUCACUGGUGUUCGGGUUGUCAUGCCAAUGGCACUGCCCGGUAGCUAAAUGCGGAAGAGAUAAGUGCUGAAAGCAUCUAAGCACGAAACUUGCCCCGAGAUGAGUUCUCCCUGAGACUUAGAGUCUCCUGAAGGAACGUUGAAGACGACGACGUUGAUAGGCCGGGUGUGUAAGCGCAGCGAUGCGUUGAGCUAACCGGUACUAAUGAACCGUGAGGCUUAACCUU